CAUUUAGAACACUCACCUUUUAAGAAAUGCAAAGCUUAUUCAUCAAGUUCCUUGGUUACGUUCAUCUCCGUUUCCCAAUCCUAGGGCAACGAGUGAAAUCGUUAAUAAUCUAGGUUCAUUUUCCAACCCAAUUGUAAGCUCAUUAGGUGACUAAGUGAGUGGUUAAAUCUACUCAAUUCACCAUGAAAGUUAAGCCCAAAAUGCAGUAAAAUAUCAUAGGAUAACAAGUUUGACAAGUGCAAGAAAGUUGAGCAAGAGAAAAUUUUCAUUCAAGUUCAAAGUGGUUUUCGCGGGUAAAAUAGUCGGGCCCGCGCAGUCUUGGGAAAAUGGUCAUAUCUCACCGUAGGAAAGUCGAAAUCACGUACCGUUAGUGGCGUUGGAAACUAGACUCAAAGGGAUUUCCAAUGAUACCAAAUUCAGACUCUAGUUCCUCUUCUAUCAAUACUACUCGUCCGGGAAAUUUGGCUGAUUUUUCUGUUCUGAUCAGCUCAAUACCAAGACAAAGUUGCCCUAUUUCUUCUUUCUAACUUCACUUGUUUUGGCUCAAAUUCACCCAAUUCAAACUCCUAGAGUUCAUAUACAGGGGAUCAAGUUAUCUAGCACCAUUGGAGCUUAAAUGUAGCAUGCAUAAUGCUUAAGUGAACCAAAAAAAUCUAGCCAACAAAGGAGAACCAAAACAGUCCAAUAGUUGCCCAAAACAACCACUUUGCUUGCUUCAUUUCCAUCUCAACUCACACAUAAGCUUAACCAAUGUUUAGCCAAGUUUCCUAGGUUUAAUUAAGGUGCAAAUGAGUCAAAAAAAUCAAGGAAAACUCUCCACUUUAUGGUUGAACAGCAAAGAGAAACCAAAACAGUCCACAAGUUCCCCUGCAACACCAACCUUCAUCCUUUCAUUAUAGUUAACUUAAGCAUCAUUCCAAGAGUUGUCCUUAGCUCAAAAAGGGUCCAAAACAUGUUAAUACAUCAAGUAAAACCAUAAACAAAGCUUGGACAAAAUAUCAAACAUAUUGUAUGGAAAACAACCAACCCUACUUCCACUUGUUUAGUUCAAGAAGUUUCACCACAAAUAUCAUCCAUUCAACUCCUAGUUUGCCAUUAAAACUUUAAACACUUGGAAUAACACCAUAAAGCUAAGAUUCAAAGAUCAUUUACCUUUCUUAAGUGAAGCUUGAAUCACCCAAAAAACACCAAAAUAAAAGCUCCAAGUUUGAAACACACACUAGACUUGAAGGUAGUUAACUCAACUAAGCUAGGUUCCUUCACUUUUGAUUUUUGCUCAAGGAUCAAACUAGAGUUUAAAAGCAAGAAAAAUGGAGUUUUCUCUCUUCUCUUGGAAGCUUCAAGUGGCCGGCCAUAUGGACGAGAUAAUGGAGCUAAAUUGGUUUAAAUUUUGCUAAUUCCUUUGGUCAAACAAGAUGAAUGAUUAGGGUUUUGUCACAUGGCUCGAUCUUGCCCAUUUCUUCCUUUAAUCUUUGACUAAUGAAGUUUCUACCCUCCAAAUGUUCCAAUACCUAAUUAACACUCUUAAACCAUUAAAUAAAGUCUUACACAUAAUAAAAGGAAUAUUUGGUCAUAAUGCAUGUGGUGAAAUAAAAUAAUGGCAACUCAAGGAAAUGUUACAAUUCAAGUAAAAGGUAAUGAAAUGCAAUGUAAGGAAAUGUCAUAAGUGAUUUAAUCUUAGGGAAAUGCAAGUGAUUUAGGAGGAUUUAUAUUUUUAAGUGAGGGUUCUCACACUUAACAAGUACUAACUUAUACCAAGAAAAUGAGUUAAAACUUGACUCACUUAUAAAAAUAUCUAGGAAAUUAAGGUAAUAAAGUAAAGUAAAGAAAAUGUGCUCAAAGAAAUAAGAUAAAAUAAAGAUAAUUUUCGAAGUUCUCAUACUCUCUUCCCCUUAACAGAAUUUUGUCCUCGAAAUUCUCUCCUUUGCUCACAAACUCGAUUCUACAGGAUUUUCUUCCACUUUCAAGAGCAUCCCCUCACUCAUGUUGCCACCACAAUCUUACCAAGAGAGAAAAUCUUAACAACUCAAUGGCUAAUUAAUAUCCUAAGAAAGAUCAAUGAAGGUAUCAAAAGGUGAAAAGUGACGCAAACUUCAAACUUGAUAAAAGAAGAGCGAAAGCUUGGUUACUAUUCUUGCUAACUCUUAAACCCAUACACUGUACAUUGACUAAUCACCAAUAACGUAAGGCCCCUUUUAUCUUUACCAUUGUACCACGAGACCCAUAUCACCCUCUCAAACCAAAAUUUAUUCCUUUCGAACCACAAACGAAGAAUUCUCGCUUAACUUCAAGACUAAAUUAUAGUAAGAGAUUCAUGGAUAAGGAUUCAAUACUGCCCAACCACCAAUAUUUAGUAUCACUCAUUAAACAUCAGAUACCAAGUCCAUUAUUUCUAACGGGAAUGCACUUACUACAUAAAGUUUGCAUAACACAUAGUUCAAAAAAUACAACUAUUUCAGCCAAAACAUCACUAAUUGCUGACUUUACCCAUUACAGUAGCUUCACCAUCCCGAAAUUCAUUUGUCCUAGGUAGUUCCUCACUUGAUGUCCAAGUUGGCCGCAUUUAAGACAUGCACCAAUUUUCAAAUAACAUACUCCCGUA
RNAcentral lists this long non-coding RNA (2602 nucleotides) under Coffea arabica (coffee). RNAcentral describes it as "long non-coding RNA (CARA_LNC002568)". Lineage: Eukaryota; Viridiplantae; Streptophyta; Magnoliopsida; Gentianales; Rubiaceae. The record is from RNAcentral.